GCCGGGCACGGUGGUUCAUGCCUGUAAUCCCAACACUUUGGGAGGCCAAGGUGGGAGGAUCGCUUGAUCCCAGGAGUUCAAGACUGCCCUGGACAACAUAGUAAGUCCCUACAAAACAAUUUUUUAAAUUAGCCAGGUUUGGUGGCUCAUGUUUGUAGUCCCAGCUACUCAGGAGGCUGAGGAGUGAGGAGGCAGGAUCACUUGAGCCCAAGAGGUUGAGGCUGUAGUGCAUGGAGAUUUUGCCACUGCACUCCAGCCUCGGCAACAGAGUGAGACCCUAUCUUA
This 285-nucleotide small RNA is filed under the name Gorilla gorilla gorilla (western lowland gorilla). Its description in RNAcentral is "Metazoan signal recognition particle RNA (ENSGGOG00000042938.1)". Lineage: Eukaryota; Metazoa; Chordata; Mammalia; Primates; Hominidae. The record is from RNAcentral.